CAGCCGCGCGGUAAUACGAAGGGGGCUAGCGUUGCUCGGAAUGACUGGGCGUAAAGGGCGCGUAGGCGGCGGCCAAAGUCAGGCGUGAAAUUCCCGGGCUCAACCUGGGGGCUGCGUUUGAUACUUGGUUGCUUGAGUGGGGAAGAGGGUCGUGGAAUUCCCAGUGUAGAGGUGAAAUUCGUAGAUAUUGGGAAGAACACCAGUGGCGAAGGCGGCUCACUGGACCGACACUGACGCUGAGGCGCGAAAGCGUGGGGAGCAAACAGGAUUAGAUACCCCCGUAGUCCCUGUCUCUUAUACA
RNAcentral lists this ribosomal RNA (301 nucleotides) under uncultured bacterium. Its description in RNAcentral is "partial 16S ribosomal RNA". It matches the Rfam family "Bacterial small subunit ribosomal RNA", at positions 509 to 808 of the family's 1533-position model. The record is from RNAcentral.